CUACGGGGCGCACCAGUGAGGAAUAUUGCACAAUGGGGGGAACCCUGAUGCAGCAACGCCGCGUGGAGGAUGACGCAUUUCGGUGUGUAAACUCCUUUUAUAUGUCAAGAAAAUGACGGUAGCAUAUGAAUAAGCACCUGCUAACUCCGUGCCAGCAGCCGCGGUAAUACGGAGGGUGCAAGCGUUAGUCGGAAUCACUGGGCGUAAAGGACGCGUAGGCGGGUUGGAAAGUCAGGUGUGAAAUCCUACAGCUUAACUGUAGAACUGCACUUGAAACUUCUAAUCUAGAGUAUGGGAGGGGGAGAUGGAAUUAGUGGUGUAGGGGUAAAAUCCGUAGAUAUCACUAGGAAUACCUAAAGCGAAGGCGAUCUCCUGGAACAUUACUGACGCUAAGGCGUGAAAGCGUGGGGAGCAAACAGGAUUAGAUACCCGCGUAGUC
This 439-nucleotide ribosomal RNA is filed under the name uncultured bacterium. RNAcentral describes it as "partial 16S ribosomal RNA". It matches the Rfam family "Bacterial small subunit ribosomal RNA", at positions 339 to 795 of the family's 1533-position model. The record is from RNAcentral.